Molecule: long non-coding RNA, 2022 nt
Filed under: Lathyrus oleraceus (garden pea)
Lineage: Eukaryota; Viridiplantae; Streptophyta; Magnoliopsida; Fabales; Fabaceae
Description: Pisum sativum (pea) long non-coding RNA (PSAT_LNC008938)
Source: RNAcentral
UUUAUCAUUUUGUAUUUAAAAUUUAAUUUUUGAAACUAAAAUAUCAUAUUUUAUUAAAUAGUUUGCUUUUGUCUUCCACUUUUACUUAUGAUAUCAAAGAUUUAUAUUGAUUGAUUCAAAAUAAACUAUACAUUUCUAAAUUCUAUAACUUUUUGUAAUGUCAAUUUUUUCUAAUGUCAGGUCCAAUUUAAAAUAGAUUUUGGUUUCUCCAAAAGAUGCAAAUUUACUCUUUUGCAUUAUUUUCUCUCUUCCUUUUACGCUGCAAAAUUCCAUCUCUCUUCCUCUUCUGCUUUCUUCUCUCUUUUGUUGCCUUUCUUUUCAUGUGUUUUUUCUUCUCUCUUCAACCUCUCUUUUCCUCUUCUUCUUUCUCCUCUCUUCCUUUUCUUCAAUAAAGACAACCGGGUCGUGGGACGAUUUACAGAAAUCUACAAAUCGAAGUUUUUUAAGGUUUGUGCUUUUUAUCUUUCUUUACUUAGAUCUACAAAACUCUAUUUAGAGAUGACACAAUGGCUAGAGAUUUAAGGGUUUGUUUUUUUCUUAUUCUGAUUUUAGAAUUUCAGUGUGAGAAAAAUGAAAUAAAAAACAAGUUAGGUUUUCUGUUACAUCUUCUUCUUUCUCACUACUGUGACAUGUUUGUAUCGUGUAUUGUGUUUUGUUAUAUUUGUUACACAGUCAUGUUUUCUAUUAUUGACUGUGAAUAAAAUGGUUGGUACUUUAAUAGUUUUUUAUUUCAGUUAUUUGUGGUUUACACAUUUGUCUUUGAAUCUUUUCAAUCAGUUGGUUUUGAUUAUCCACCUGUGGGGUGAUUUGUGUGUUUAUUAUGUCCCUGUGGUAGUUUUAUUUUGACCUAAGAUUGUUGGUGUUGCAAAAAUGGAAAAGAAUAAUCAAUAUUGGCAUGUCUAUUACUGUUACGACAACUAUUCAUGUUAUGGAAAAGAUAUGGACUUCCUACAGCUCAUCAUGAAGUAUGCAUUCAUAUACUUAUUUGGUUGUUGAGUAAUUCUUUAACUACCUACCCAUUAUUAUUUAAUGCCACCAAUCAACCUAAAUUAUCCCUUAAACAUUAUUUAUUCAUGCCUACUAAAAGGACAUAACAGUAAAAUACAUAUUACCUAAUCUUAGAAUUGUUGAGAACAAUUCAUGGCAUUUUUCAAUUGGUCCGAAUUUUAUUAUGUCCUUUAUAUCAAUUUUCCCUCUCUUUUCACCCCAUUUAAUUUUUUUUUCUUUAUCAAAAAAGUUUCUCUUUUUCCCUCACUCUCUCUUUUCUCGUCUCCCUGUUUCUCUUUCUUCUUCCUCAUUCAUUUUCUUCUCCUUUCAUCACUUUCCAUUUCUCUUUCUCCCCUUUCAACCAAGUUCUUCUUCCUUUUACAAAGCAACCAUCUCCUUCUUUUCUUUUGUGUUCAUAUUUCAACACGAAAAAUAAAGUAAUGGGCAUGGAAACAAGAUGAAAAAGGUGUACUUUGAUAAUAAAUUUUUGAUUUUUUUUAUCCAACAAUGCCUUUCUUUUUCCCUUAAAUUGAUUAGCUGAUUUGGUAUUGUUUCUGGUUUUGAUUCAAAGUAUAGAACUUUAUGUUAUUGUUAAGUGUAAAAUCUGAUUUUACCUUAUAUGUAUGAAAGUUGAAUACUUUGGAACUUUUUUAUGGUUGUUGGUUUUUGUAGGUGGUAAAGAUGUCUAGAGACCGAAGGCGUCGUGUUUAUUGAUUUUGUUCUUGAUGAUGUUUGGAAAGAAGUUGAAAACAGUAAUUGCUUGCAGGAUAUGGUUUUCAAACUUUUGCUAAUAAUUUUAGAGUUUUGUUGGUUUUUGAAAUUGAUGGGUAUGCUAGUGCCCUUUUGAAAUUUUGAAAUGUGUUUUAAAAAUAAAGUGAAAUUAUACUUGAAAUUGUGUGUAAUUUUGAAGUUGGAUCUAGCCUUUAAUGUCAUGUUGUUUAUUGGAAAUUGAUUUAUUCGUGUCCUUUUGAUGUGUUUUCAUCAACAACAAUUUGAUGUAACCAUUUCACUUGCUCUAACUGAUCGCGACUUUAU